This 205-nucleotide long non-coding RNA is filed under the name Mytilus galloprovincialis (Mediterranean mussel). Lineage: Eukaryota; Metazoa; Mollusca; Bivalvia; Mytilida; Mytilidae. The record is from RNAcentral.
GGGGGAUGAAUUAGCCCGGUAUAUAACGAAGUUGAAAUAAACUGUUGCCCGCUGGCUAAACUAAGAAAUUAUCCACGCGGGCCAUAAUAUGAGAGGUAGAGGAAGGGAUUGCCUCUAUAAAAUGACCAUGAGCACGUAUGACCUAGACCCGUACGAGUUAGUCAGCAAAGUGUAAGGUUGGUACCCUAGUAUAUAAUAAAGUCGA